Long non-coding RNA from Drosophila hydei, 368 nucleotides. RefSeq lists it as uncharacterized. The record is from RefSeq and is a predicted model, not a curated record. NCBI's taxonomy places the organism in Eukaryota, Metazoa, Arthropoda, Insecta, Diptera, Drosophilidae. The transcript is spliced from 2 exons.
AUAUUCAUAUAAAAUAUAAAACAUAUAUAAAAACAAAAAAUUGAUUUUUUUUUUAUUUUAAGUUGAUAAUUUGAUGAAACCUUUGAACUUUAAGCUGAUAUGAACUCGAUUUUGCUGUGCUGCCUACUAGGCCUUCUGUUUGCCGACUGUGCGGCAUCGAACUCUGCUCAAUUUCGAUGCAGUUUUUUAACUGACCGAGGGCCAUGCAAAGGUCACAAGAAAAUGUUUGCCUUUGACAUCUUAGAUCUUCAGUGCAAAGAGUUUGACUACAGCGGCUGUGGAGGCAAUCCAAACCGCUUUAAUAGCUUUAAAGAGUGUCGCAAAAUUUGCAAUGAAAUUAUAAUUAAUAAAAACAUAAGUUAAAUCAA